This 1408-nucleotide ribosomal RNA is filed under the name Klebsiella variicola. RNAcentral's name for it is "bacterial SSU rRNA". It matches the Rfam family "Bacterial small subunit ribosomal RNA". The record is from RNAcentral. Lineage: Bacteria; Pseudomonadati; Pseudomonadota; Gammaproteobacteria; Enterobacterales; Enterobacteriaceae.
CUACCAUGCAGUCGAGCGGUAGCACAGAGAGCUUGCUCUCGGGUGACGAGCGGCGGACGGGUGAGUAAUGUCUGGGAAACUGCCUGAUGGAGGGGGAUAACUACUGGAAACGGUAGCUAAUACCGCAUAACGUCGCAAGACCAAAGUGGGGGACCUUCGGGCCUCAUGCCAUCAGAUGUGCCCAGAUGGGAUUAGCUAGUAGGUGGGGUAACGGCUCACCUAGGCGACGAUCCCUAGCUGGUCUGAGAGGAUGACCAGCCACACUGGAACUGAGACACGGUCCAGACUCCUACGGGAGGCAGCAGUGGGGAAUAUUGCACAAUGGGCGCAAGCCUGAUGCAGCCAUGCCGCGUGUGUGAAGAAGGCCUUCGGGUUGUAAAGCACUUUCAGCGGGGAGGAAGGCGUUAAGGUUAAUAACCUUGGCGAUUGACGUUACCCGCAGAAGAAGCACCGGCUAACUCCGUGCCAGCAGCCGCGGUAAUACGGAGGGUGCAAGCGUUAAUCGGAAUUACUGGGCGUAAAGCGCACGCAGGCGGUCUGUCAAGUCGGAUGUGAAAUCCCCGGGCUCAACCUGGGAACUGCAUUCGAAACUGGCAGGCUAGAGUCUUGUAGAGGGGGGUAGAAUUCCAGGUGUAGCGGUGAAAUGCGUAGAGAUCUGGAGGAAUACCGGUGGCGAAGGCGGCCCCCUGGACAAAGACUGACGCUCAGGUGCGAAAGCGUGGGGAGCAAACAGGAUUAGAUACCCUGGUAGUCCACGCCGUAAACGAUGUCGAUUUGGAGGUUGUGCCCUUGAGGCGUGGCUUCCGGAGCUAACGCGUUAAAUCGACCGCCUGGGGAGUACGGCCGCAAGGUUAAAACUCAAAUGAAUUGACGGGGGCCCGCACAAGCGGUGGAGCAUGUGGUUUAAUUCGAUGCAACGCGAAGAACCUUACCUGGUCUUGACAUCCACAGAACUUUCCAGAGAUGGAUUGGUGCCUUCGGGAACUGUGAGACAGGUGCUGCAUGGCUGUCGUCAGCUCGUGUUGUGAAAUGUUGGGUUAAGUCCCGCAACGAGCGCAACCCUUAUCCUUUGUUGCCAGCGGUUAGGCCGGGAACUCAAAGGAGACUGCCAGUGAUAAACUGGAGGAAGGUGGGGAUGACGUCAAGUCAUCAUGGCCCUUACGACCAGGGCUACACACGUGCUACAAUGGCAUAUACAAAGAGAAGCGACCUCGCGAGAGCAAGCGGACCUCAUAAAGUAUGUCGUAGUCCGGAUUGGAGUCUGCAACUCGACUCCAUGAAGUCGGAAUCGCUAGUAAUCGUAGAUCAGAAUGCUACGGUGAAUACGUUCCCGGGCCUUGUACACACCGCCCGUCACACCAUGGGAGUGGGUUGCAAAAGAAGUAGGUAGCUUAACCUUCGGGAGGGC